RNAcentral lists this ribosomal RNA (543 nucleotides) under Triticum aestivum (bread wheat). RNAcentral describes it as "partial small subunit ribosomal RNA". The record is from RNAcentral. Lineage: Eukaryota; Viridiplantae; Streptophyta; Magnoliopsida; Poales; Poaceae.
CAUCUCCUUGCCUGGAACUGUCGAGAAUUGGGGUUGGACUCGACAGUGGGCGAACUUCGAGACCUCAUUCGGUCUCACAACCCAGCGGUGGUUUUCCUUUCUGAAACAAAAAAAUCAUCUAGAGCUAUGGAACGGUUGAAAUGGAGCUUGGGGUUCACUAGUGGAGUUGCUGUGAGUUGCAAUGGAAGAAGUGGGGGCUUGGCCUUGUGGUGGAGGGAUCAUAUUCAGGUUACGGUGAGGCCGUGGUGCCAAUAUUUCCUUGAUGCCGAGGUGGCUUGGGAGGGUAAGCCCUAUAGAAUCACUGGAUUCUAUGGAGAACCCAAAACUGAACUGCGCAAAAAAUUGUGGGAUGCUAUUCGUUUUCUUCGAGCCCAAGAUAAUCUACCCUGGCUAUGUGUCGGUGACUUUAACGAGGCCCUCUUCCGCAUGGAUCAAGUGGGGGUAAUCCAAGGCCUUUCAUUCAAAUGGAGGAUUUCCGAGAUUGCCUCGCCGACUGCGGCCUGGCUGAUCUUGGUUUCACCGGGUACCCUUCACAUGGGAUAA